Molecule: ribosomal RNA, 253 nt
Filed under: uncultured bacterium
Lineage: Bacteria
Description: partial 16S ribosomal RNA
Rfam family: Bacterial small subunit ribosomal RNA
Source: RNAcentral
UACGAAGGGGGCAAGCGUUGUUCGGAAUGACUGGGCGUAAAGGGCGCGUAGGCGGUUCGUUGCGUCAGAUGUGAAAGCCCCGGGCUCAACCUGGGAACUGCAUUUGAUACGGGCGAGCUUGAAUCCAAGAGAGGGUGGUGGAAUUCCCAGUGUAGAGGUGAAAUUCGUAGAUAUUGGGAAGAACACCAGUGGCGAAGGCGGCCACCUGGCUUGGUAUUGACGCUGAGGUGCGAAAGCGUGGGGAGCAAACAGG